This 643-nucleotide ribosomal RNA is filed under the name uncultured Actinomycetes bacterium. Its description in RNAcentral is "bacterial SSU rRNA". It matches the Rfam family "Bacterial small subunit ribosomal RNA", at positions 232 to 885 of the family's 1533-position model. Lineage: Bacteria; Bacillati; Actinomycetota; Actinomycetes. The record is from RNAcentral.
CGCGGCCUAUCAGCUUGUUGGUGGGGUGAUGGCCUACCAAGGCGACGACGGGUAGCCGGCCUGAGAGGGCGACCGGCCACACUGGGACUGAGACACGGCCCAGACUCCUACGGGAGGCAGCAGUGGGGAAUAUUGCGCAAUGGGCGGAAGCCUGACGCAGCGACGCCGCGUGAGGGAUGACGGCCUUCGGGUUGUAAACCUCUUUCAGCUCUGACGAAGCGAGAGUGACGGUAGGAGCAGAAGAAGCACCGGCCAACUACGUGCCAGCAGCCGCGGUAAUACGUAGGGUGCAAGCGUUGUCCGGAAUUAUUGGGCGUAAAGAGCUCGUAGGCGGUCUGUCGCGUCGAAUGUGAAAACCCGGGGCUCAACCCCGGGCCUGCAUUCGAUACGGGCAGACUAGAGUUCGGUAGGGGAGUCUGGAAUUCCUGGUGUAGCGGUGAAAUGCGCAGAUAUCAGGAGGAACACCGGUGGCGAAGGCGGGACUCUGGGCCGAUACUGACGCUGAGGAGCGAAAGCGUGGGGAGCGAACAGGAUUAGAUACCCUGGUAGUCCACGCCGUAAACGUUGGGCGCUAGGUGUGGGGGUCCUUCCACGACCUCCGUGCCGCAGCUAACGCAUUAAGCGCCCCGCCUGGGGAGUACGG